This 464-nucleotide ribosomal RNA is filed under the name Streptococcus sanguinis. RNAcentral describes it as "bacterial SSU rRNA". It matches the Rfam family "Bacterial small subunit ribosomal RNA", at positions 28 to 474 of the family's 1533-position model. Lineage: Bacteria; Bacillati; Bacillota; Bacilli; Lactobacillales; Streptococcaceae. The record is from RNAcentral.
GACGAACGCUGGCGGCGUGCCUAAUACAUGCAAGUAGAACGCUGAAGAGAGGAGCUUGCUCUUCUUGGAUGAGUCGCGAACGGGUGAGUAACGCGUAGGUAACCUGCCUGGUAGCGGGGGAUAACUAUUGGAAACGAUAGCUAAUACCGCAUGAUAUUAAUUGUCGCAUGAUAAUAAAUUGAAAGAUGCAAUUGCAUCACUACCAGAUGGACCUGCGUUGUAUUAGCUAGUUGGUGAGGUAACGGCUCACCAAGGCGACGAUACAUAGCCGACCUGAGAGGGUGAUCGGCCACACUGGGACUGAGACACGGCCCAGACUCCUACGGGAGGCAGCAGUAGGGAAUCUUCGGCAAUGGGGGGAACCCUGACCGAGCAACGCCGCGUGAGUGAAGAAGGUUUUCGGAUCGUAAAGCUCUGUCGUAAGAGAAGAACGGGUGUGAGAGUGGAAAGUUCACACUGUGACG